CGAGGAGAGUGUCUCUCUCUCGCGUGGCUGCGAGAGAGACAGAACGGCCCAUUGAUCCGCCGCCUCGAGGCUGCCUCUCGUCCCGAGUGAUCUGGAAUCGCGAUCGGAAUCGCUUUGAAAGACGAUCUCGCACGCGAGUCGAGUAGUCGUGCGUUCGGCAAAUUCGAGAACGAAAGAGAAGUAAUCGCGAGAAACUUGCUUUCCCGAGCAUCGUCGGUUUGUUCUCUUCUCUCUCUCUCUCUCUCGAUAAGGUAUACUUUUCAAAUCGCGCGCUGUGUGUGGCCGAGUGUCUCGAUCGUGAGUCGUCGAACGGGUGGAAUCUUCCGGCACACUUUGUACAAAGCCGAAGGCGCGGUCUUGAAAAAGACUACGAUUGAAUCUCGCUCGAAGAUUGGUCGGACAAGAUUAUCGGCUUCUUAGAUCACGUUGAAAGUUUGUCAGAGUGCGACAGAGUUUCUCGCGUAGUGCAGAGAAUAUGAGACUUCAGCUCCCGAAGAAUCGUCUUAUUAAGGAAAGAGCGAGAGAGAGAGGGAUAUUCUGCUUCUCUCGAACGCAUAAGCGGCGUUAAAUUGUCGAGAGGUGUUCGAGAAGGUGGCAAUCGGAAGGUGCGAGCGAUUUGAUGACAUUUUCGAGAAGAGGCGUCGAUGGGAUUGAAGGAGCGCGGGGGGGACGCUCGUUAAGGCGCCUCUAAUAAUAGCGGCGCGCUCGCGAGUGUAGCAAGCGAUCUAUAAAUAGCGGUCUCUGGCCCCGUGGAAACACGAGCCCGUGGAUUUCACGGUGCAACCUGUGUGCCGACAGCGAAAACGGGAGAGAGAAAAAGGAGGGAAUCGCCGAGAGAAGAAUCAGCGCGGCCGAUUUGGAUAAGGCCAUCGAGGACUUAAUGUACGGAUUGAUUUGUGAAGUUGAAGAGUUCUCGAGAAGAGUGUGAUUUAAUCGGCGAUUUAUAUCGUGCGACGAGUAUUUCGGAGAAUGAUCCCGGAUCGCUAGAACCCGAGCUAGAACGAGAGACGAAAAUCGACAGACGCAGAGAUCGUCGUCCAGGAUGUGAUUCAAUUUUCGACUUGGAAUCUACUUGUCGCGAGCUACAAUACGUCAAACGAUAUCUAAUUUGAGACGAGAGAAAUGUUGGGGAAACAACCCACAAGGUUGGAAUUUUAUUUUAUUUAUUCUUGAUUUUUCUAGAGUGACUUGCGUUGGAUCGGAAAUCAGUGAGAAAGACAGAGAUUCUCUUGAAUCCGGGAUGAAUCGGCCGUCGGCUGGAAGCUAAUCGAGACUGAUAUCGAGAAGAAACUUUUCCAUGGAGUUUCCUAUUUUACUUUUCCAUCGUGAUAUCUCAGUUCGACUGGUGUGAUCCAAAGAUAUCGUACGUGAAAAGUUUUGACGCAGUCUUAGUGAAUGCGAUCAUCCGAGGGACAUCAAAGUGCAACCGUCGAAUAUCGAUGUCUUGGAACAACAUCCGAUCAUUUCGACGCAACCGACACAACCGGUUUAUCAAACGGAAUGCGAAGAAACUUCACAGUGUUUUCUUUUCUGCUUCGAGUACAGUGCAUAGUUUACAUACUUAAUGUUUCAAAUUUAUUUAGCAUGAUUUAAUGACACGUGCAACGCUAGAAAAGUACAUUUUACGCAUUAAACUGGUGAUUAGCUUUGACAAACGACUGAUAAUAAAUGUGCUAUUGGACUACUAUUAAUAUAUACUCGGAUCAUUAAGUUACUCGAGUUGUUUACGUGGGUUUGAUUCCAUCGUACGUGCUCUUCAUCUUUCACCGUUGACACAUCAUUGCAAAGUCGCAAUUACGCAAGACUGACCCGAACUCUAAUCUGACUUAUCGAUCUUAGUCUUACAAUAUUUAUACUAAAAAAAAAAAUAUUUGUGGACAGCUAAGUCUCUCCAAGAGAUCCCAGAUCCCUCGCGAUGCCCUCGUCCGGACGCUCCAGGGACUCUCAGUGAUACCGCGGAGGGCGAUCAUCCACCCCAGCGGAAGAUGAGCGGCGAGUGAGAGGAAGAGGCUGCCCCCCUCGAGCGACGGGGACCGUCGGGGAUCGACAUCCGGUCGCGAACGCGAAGCGGGUAGGACGCUCGCGCGGGGUCAGCGGCACGGUGGAGAGCGGUGCCACGGUGCGGGGGGUCGUGGUGGACCCCGGCGAUGACACAGCCAUGAUGGCCUACGGUGGCACCGCUGGUAACGGGGGCGCGAUGGGCCCCACGGCCGGUGGCGGCGGCAACGCCGGUGGCGCGGACGUUCUCGGCACCGCCGCCGGCGACUACAGCCCCCAGAGCACGCCCACGCCCUUGACCGGGCACACGACGACGAGCGGCUCGGUGGAGAACGCUUACACCCCCGGCACCACCGGGGCGGCCAGCUACAGUCCUCAGGACAGCCCGGCGAGCUCCGCCGGGGGCAGCGGCAACGGCCAGCUGCCGAGUUUCGGCUUCACCCAGGAGCAGGUCGCGUGUGUCUGCGAGGCGAUGGUGUCGAAUGUCCAGGUUCUCCAGCAGGCGGGCUCCGUGGAGAGGCUCAGCAGAUUUCUCUGGUCCCUACCGGCAUGCACCAGGUUGCAUCGGCACGAGAGCGUCCUCAAGGCAAAGGCGAUCGUCGCCUUCCAUCGGGGCCAAUUUAAGGAGCUCUACAGGAUCCUGGAGAGUCAUACCUUCAGCCCUAACAAUCAUCCCAAGCUGCAAGCCCUCUGGCUCAAGGCCCACUACAUCGAGGCUGAGAGGCUACGUGGCAGGCCCCUCGGCGCAGUCGGAAAAUAUCGAGUGCGUCGUAAGUUUCCGCUACCGCGCACUAUCUGGGACGGCGAGGAAACGUCUUACUGCUUUAAGGAAAAAUCCAGGAGCGUUCUGAGGGAUUGGUAUGCCACCAAUCCUUAUCCGUCACCGCGCGAAAAGCGAGAAUUGGCGGAGAGCACUGGUCUCACCACCACGCAAGUCAGCAAUUGGUUCAAAAACCGGAGGCAGAGAGACCGCGCCGCCGAGCACAGUGGACAGAGGGAGGACAAGACUCACGGCGGGGGUUUAGGAGACUCCAGCAGCGAAAGCGGUGACGAGACGAAGCGACAAUCCGGGCAGCAGCCGCAGCAACAGCCAUCCUCUUGCGCUGUUCAGCAGCAACAGCAGCAGCAGCAGCAGCAGCAGCAGAUGGUGGACCACCAGCAAACCUCCGGCAUGUACCAGCUUCCGCCUCCGGUCACGGUCUCCAGCCCGCAUUCGUAUCACCAGAGUCACGGCACGUCCUUGAGCCACCCGCACAUGCAGCACCACGACACGAGCAGCGAGAGCGGCGAUGACAAGAGGAACCUCCAUCAUCAAUUGCAGCAUCAUCUCCAAGUCGGCACCCACGGUGCCCACGGUCUCGUUCAUCCCACCGCUACUUUGCCACCACCACCGCCCAGUUGCGCUCAACAGAAGAGCCAGUUGGAUUACAUGCAGUACUACAGCCCGCAGGACUAUUUAAUCGGCACGCCGACCUCCGCGGAUUUGCAAAAGUCCUUGCCGCAUACGGCAACGUCGAUGCAGAUGGGCGCGAUCGCGCCUUCCAUGGGCGGGUUGAGCCCGAUGGGUCCUUCGACGAUGCUGUCCAAUACCAUGCAGGGUGUCAACACCAUGAACACCAUGUCGAUGAACGGCAUGGGCAUGGGCGCUUAUCAGGGCAUGAGUUCCAUGGGGAUGUCGACGUCGCACGCGAGUUACCAUAGCGGCCUCGUGUUGGGCGAAUACCAUUCCUUGUGACCUUGGGCCCCAAGCACCCAAAGCAAAAGGAGCCAGGAGAAGACUUAAUGCACAUCGGUGAGGCGCAAGACUUCCGGUCGAUCAAGCGUUCCGAUGAAUUCGAUCGAACUCUGGCUGCGAUCAUCUCGACGAUAAGAAAGAAAUCGAACACAAAGGGACGUCCGGUCACGUGGAGAAGCCAGAUGCUCUCUUUCAGGCUCGAAGAGGAUAUUAUCUGAAGUACGCUGGUAAAUAUCGACACAAAAAGGAGGACGAAGAUCUUAUCUGCUUCAUCGCGAUCGUUGAUAGACCUAAUAGCGAGCCGAAGGACGGUCGUUUUGAAAUAAUUACCGGUUCGUAUCCGUAGCACCGAUCUUUCCGGGUUCAUUCGGAUAUAUUGUAAGAUCAAAGGACGAUGUUCUCUUCUUCGCCGCUAUCUCUUUA
Molecule: unclassified non-coding RNA, 4156 nt
Filed under: Camponotus floridanus (Florida carpenter ant)
Lineage: Eukaryota; Metazoa; Arthropoda; Insecta; Hymenoptera; Formicidae
Description: homeobox protein six1a, transcript variant X3
Source: RNAcentral